UAGGAAACCAGGCUUUAUUAGU
RNAcentral lists this microRNA (22 nucleotides) under Taeniopygia guttata (zebra finch). RNAcentral's name for it is "tgu-miR-2956". The record is from miRBase by way of RNAcentral. Lineage: Eukaryota; Metazoa; Chordata; Aves; Passeriformes; Estrildidae.